UUUCUUGUUUCUAUUUGAUUGACAGCGUUAUCAUGCAUACUUUAUGUAUGAGGUUGAUUCGUGGAGCAUCAUGUGUACAGGUUUGGUUCUUCUUCUUAACUCUAUAUUUCCAUUUUCUUGAUAGGUGAGUUUUGUAGUCCAUGUAAUGCAUACUGGGAAUAAUGUUAUGAGUUCACUGUUCAAAUGGAUUUUGUUUGUGACUAUUUUUAUCGACAGCAUUGCCCUGAAAAUCAUUUUUAUUUUAUUUUAAUUUACUUCAACUGUCGCGGUAAUUUCUGAUCACUAUAUGCUUAGCCACUGUAGUUUAAUUAAGUUUACUUAUAAUUUUUGUAGCAUAAACUGUUUCUUUAUAUGUAUUCUCAUACUAUUCAUGCAAUUUAACCCUCCCAGUUGACAUUCCCCAAAUAAAUCUAUGGAAAAUAAGCAAAGAAAGAUAUUGAAUAACCAAUUAAUUCUGUUGGCAUGGGUACAAAUUCUUAUUCUUGUCGUUAAAAGAUUAAGGUUGCUUUGCAUUAUAUGCUUCCCUAUAUUUACUUCAGAAUUCAAACAAAGCAAUGUCAAGGUCUUGUAACGAUCACAUUUUUUCUUGGUGGUUUGGGAGGAAAGAAGAUCUUGUGAAAUAUUUUUAGGUGUUUGCCUACCUACUGAUUAUGAUUGUCUUGGAUUUCCUUGUCAAGGACUAAGAAUUUGGUGGAUGUUGAGAAAAAUCUAUGGUGCUAAUUUAUAAAUCAACAAAGUUUUGAAUGUUGCCCCAAUAACAGAAGGGGCGUGCUACAAGAACAGGGGGCUGACCGCCCCCUGACCGAACCCCACAAAUAGGGGGGAGUGCCCACGUUUUUUUGCUGGCCCCACCCCCAUUUGAGGGGCUCCUGUCAGGGAGGCGGUCAGCUUCCCUGUUACAGGAGCAUUUUCCAUAGCAGAAAAUCUUUUAAGUAUUGACAUGUCUUAUUCUUUAAUUUUAAAAUCAUGGCUUACCAAGCUAAUCUUAUCUAGUACUUCAUUGCUAAUUCGAAGCCUAUCACAGAGGGGGUUACCAUUUUGGUGUGCUUCAUGGUAAUCACUGGAUUACUGCACAAUUCAAAGUACCAUUGGAGAUUAUUUUAGUAUUCUUGCUUCUCUAGCAUGCUCUUAGUAGUCUUCUGGUUACACCUUAUGCUGAGGUAAUCGGUCAUUUAAACACAAUUCAUAUUCAAAUUAUCACAGCUUAUAUUAACAAUCAGAAUAAGAUUUAGUAGUACGAGAUGAAAAUUUACAGAAAUUACUUCAAGUGAAGAAUUGAUCAUAUUACAUUUUUAAUUUGCCUUUUUGCUUCCAAACACGAGUUCAUUCUUAUUUUUCUUUCUAUGCUAACCUCACCCGUUUAAUUCUCUAAUUCAAUAGCUUCCAUCAAUUAGCAAGAACACAUUCCAUUAAAUACCUUAUUAUUUGAGAUACAGGUUUCACACCAGUUCAGGAAAAGCAAUCAAGUGACGGAUUUAUUAACAAAAAUGGGUGCACAAGGGGUAAUGCAGAGAUUUACAUCUUGUGGUGACUUGUUCGGUUGGACCGCAUUGGAGUUCCCUACUUACGUAAGUGAGUUGAUUGGUCUAGAAAAUUUUUAAAUUCGCUAUUUGUAAGGCUAUUUUGUCAUCACGGUAUUCCUCAGCCAUAAGUGAGGAUUGUUUUCAAUAAAAUUAUUGGUUGACUUUAAAAAAAAAAAAAUUCUCAUUAUUUAUUUCCACUCUGAUUGAGUUUACACCCAUCCUACAGAUAGGCAAAGUUUAAGUGGGAUAUCUCAUGGCUUCCGUUUGGGACACUAAGGUAAACCAUGUUUGAACUCUGUUUCAACAUAUAGUUACUAACACAGGUUAUAAUAGAUUUAUUGAGGUAAGCAUUGAUUCUAAAAUAGUAGUGCAUCUGGGAUCUGCCUUUAUGUGAAUCAUGUACUCAAAGAGUCUUCUGAAGUGGGGCAAAAUUUACAACUACAAUCAAAGAGAACUUAAUUCAGAAAUUUGAUCUCAUCAAUCAAUACUCUAAGCCUCGUUUUAACUGCUAAACAUGCAUUGAAAAUAUUGAUGUUAAUGUAGUUUUAUAUUCAAAAAUAAAGAAUAAAUAUGCAUGUAUGACAUAUCUUGCUUGAAGUCUGCUUACAUUAUGGUUUUAAUAUGUAUGCAUUUAAUUCCUCUCGAAAAGGUUACAUCAAUUUUUAACUUAUUGGUUUAGGGUUCAAAAAAUAUAGUGGUUUAGAUAAAUUCAUCUGAAUCAGAUUAAUCUUUUUGCUUUGAUGUUUAAUGGUGAUUUGCUCAUUGUGUUUUAGAUAGUAGAUCAUUGAUACCUAGAAAGGAGCAGGCCCAGCUUUUGAGAGGGGUUACAACUCUGGUACCCGGGUUUCAUAUGGUUUAUAUAGAUAUUCCUUUAAAUAAUAGAGGUUGUUUCGUGUAAGUUUGGGAAGAAAUAUUCUGAUUUGAAUGCAUCAAUGGGAUUCCAUGGUCAAUAUGCUUCGCCAAUUCUUAUGUAAUUUUGACUUUUCUUUUAAUCUUUACAUUCUUUGACAGAU
Molecule: long non-coding RNA, 2536 nt
Filed under: Olea europaea subsp. europaea
Lineage: Eukaryota; Viridiplantae; Streptophyta; Magnoliopsida; Lamiales; Oleaceae
Source: RNAcentral